This 564-nucleotide ribosomal RNA is filed under the name uncultured Glomeromycotina. RNAcentral's name for it is "SSU rRNA". It matches the Rfam family "Eukaryotic small subunit ribosomal RNA", at positions 548 to 1114 of the family's 1831-position model. Lineage: Eukaryota; Fungi; Glomeromycota. The record is from RNAcentral.
UUGGAGGGCAAGUCUGGUGCCAGCAGCCGCGGUAAUUCCAGCUCCAAUAGCGUAUAUUAAAGUUGUUGCAGUUAAAAAGCUCGUAGUUGAAUUUCGGGAUCAGUAUGUCGGUCGUGCUUCGGUACGUACUGUCAUUACUGGUUUCUCCCUUCUGACGAACCAUGAUGUCAUUAAUUUGGUGUCUUGGGAAAUCAGGACUGUUACUUUGAAAAAAUUAGAGUGUUUAAAGCAGGCAUACGCUUGAAUACAUUAGCAUGGAAUAAUGAAAUAGGACGUUUGAUUCUAUUUUGUUGGUUUCUAGGAUCGACGUAAUGAUUAAUAGGGAUAGUUGGGGGCAUUAGUAUUCAAUUGUCAGAGGUGAAAUUCUUGGAUUUAUUGAAGACUAACUACUGCGAAAGCAUUUGCCAAGGAUGUUUUCAUUAAUCAAGAACGAAAGUUAGGGGAUCGAAGACGAUCAGAUACCGUCGUAGUCUCAACCAUAAACUAUGCCGACUAGGGAUCGGAUGAUGUUAAUUUUUUAAUGACUCAUUCGGCGCCUUACGGGAAACCAAAGUGUUUGGGUUC